UGGGGAAUUUUGGACAAUGGGGGAAACCCUGAUCCAGCCAUCCCGCGUGUGCGAUGAAGGCCUUCGGGUUGUGAAGCACUUUUGGCAGGAAAGAAACGUCAUGGGUUAAUACCCCGUGAAACUGACGGUACCUGCAGAAUAAGCACCGGCUAACUACGUGCCAGCAGCCGCGGUAAUACGUAGGGUGCAAGCGUUAAUCGGAAUUACUGGGCGUAAAGCGUGCGCAGGCGGUUCGGAAAGAAAGAUGUGAAAUCCCAGAGCUCAACUUUGGAAUUGCAUUUUUAACUACCGGGCUAGAGUGUGUCAGAGGGAGGUGGAAUUCCGCGUGUAGCAGUGAAAUGCGUAGAUAUGCGGAGGAACACCGAUGGCGAAGGCAGCCUCCUGGGAUAACACUGACGCUCAUGCACGAAAGCGUGGGGAGCAAACAGG
This 429-nucleotide ribosomal RNA is filed under the name Acidobacteriota bacterium. Its description in RNAcentral is "Acidobacteria bacterium partial 16S ribosomal RNA". It matches the Rfam family "Bacterial small subunit ribosomal RNA", at positions 355 to 776 of the family's 1533-position model. Lineage: Bacteria; Pseudomonadati; Acidobacteriota. The record is from RNAcentral.